Molecule: ribosomal RNA, 319 nt
Filed under: uncultured eukaryote
Lineage: Eukaryota
Description: partial 18S ribosomal RNA
Rfam family: Eukaryotic small subunit ribosomal RNA
Source: RNAcentral
CCCUUAGAUGUUCUGGGCAGCACGCGCGCUACGAUGGUCUUCGCAAACGGAUGCAUUCUCGAAGGAGAAUGCCAAUCUUGGAAUCUAUGCCUUGGUCGGGACAGUUGCUUGCAAUUUUUCGACUCGAACCAGGAAUUCCUUGUAAUCGUGAUUCAUCACAUCACGAUGAAUACGUCCCUGCCCUUUGUACACACCGCCCGUCGCUCCUACCGAUCGAAGAGUUAGGUGAAUUGUUUUGAUCGAUAAGAUUUGACUAUGGUCAACUCUCGUUGUGAAAUUCUGUGAAUCUGACUGUUUAGAGGAAGGAAAAGUCGUAACA